Molecule: ribosomal RNA, 442 nt
Filed under: uncultured bacterium
Lineage: Bacteria
Description: partial 16S ribosomal RNA
Rfam family: Bacterial small subunit ribosomal RNA
Source: RNAcentral
CCUACGGGUGGCAGCAGUGGGGAAUAUUGGGCAAUGGGCGCAAGCCUGACCCAGCAAUGCCGCGUGAAGGAAGAAGGCUUUCGGGUUGUAAACUUCUUUGCCAGGGGAAGAGCAGAAGACCGUUCCCUGAAGACUAACCCCGGCUAACUACCUUCCAGCAGCCGCGGUUAUACGUAGGUGGCAAGCGUUGUCCGGAUUUACUGGGUGUAAAGGGCGUGUAGGCGGGAAGGCAAGUCAGAUGUGAAAACUGGAGGCUCAACCCCCAAAUUGCAUUUGAAACUGUUUUUCUUGAGUGCUGGAGAGGCAGACGGAAUUCCGGGUAUAGCGGUGAAAUGCGUAGAUAUAAGGAGGAACACCAGUGGCGAAGGCGGACUGCUGGACAGCAACUGACGGUGAGGCGCGAAAGCGUGGGGAGCAAACAGGAUUAGAUACCCGGGUAGUC